CUUUAUACAUAUUAUAAUAAAAUAAUGAAUGAGAAUAAUAGCUUGGUGAUGAUAUUAAUCGAAAUAAUAGCAGUUCAAAAAUGACAUCUUAGUCGAGUGGAAUUCUUGAUCUAGUUAGAUAUGAUAAACAUAUCAGAGUUGCUAUUGAUGGAGUAUUGCAUACAUCUAAACUAUUAUAUAUUAAAACUCGAUAAACAUCUUGAUAACAUUACUGAGUUAGAUUUAUAAAUAUUCAAUUAUUAAUUAAUGAGAUUUAAACUAUUAUUUUCUCAACG
Molecule: long non-coding RNA, 275 nt
Filed under: Elaeis guineensis (African oil palm)
Lineage: Eukaryota; Viridiplantae; Streptophyta; Magnoliopsida; Arecales; Arecaceae
Description: long non-coding RNA (EGUI_LNC020596)
Source: RNAcentral